Molecule: small nuclear RNA, 63 nt
Organism: Callithrix jacchus (white-tufted-ear marmoset)
Lineage: Eukaryota; Metazoa; Chordata; Mammalia; Primates; Cebidae
Gene: U7
Rfam family: U7 small nuclear RNA
About the family: Animal histone pre-mRNAs are spliced by a different mechanism than nuclear pre-mRNAs and self-splicing introns. This processing involves the U7 snRNP, which contains only one RNA species: U7.
Source: Ensembl
AAAUGUUAACAGCUCUUGUAGAAUUUGUCUAGCAGGUUUUCCGGUUUUCACCGAAAGUCCCCC